This 262-nucleotide long non-coding RNA is filed under the name Lathyrus oleraceus (garden pea). RNAcentral's name for it is "Pisum sativum (pea) long non-coding RNA (PSAT_LNC027491)". Lineage: Eukaryota; Viridiplantae; Streptophyta; Magnoliopsida; Fabales; Fabaceae. The record is from RNAcentral.
UUUGUCCAGCGGGUUUCUUUCACGAAGUAUUUUCUAACUGCGUCCGCACUCACAGGGAAUGGAAAAUCGUCGUCAUCCGUGGUCAUAAACAACAAGGUUCUGUCAGAUGGAACCCUCUUGACCAUGAAUGGACAUUCGUAACUGUUUGUCCAUUUGCCCCACAAUCGUUUUGAGGUGGAAGGAUCCUUUUCAACCAAUUCUUCCAGGUGAUACGCCCAAGGUCACACUUCUCGGUCAACAAUAAGCUUCGCUCAUUGAGUAC